This 465-nucleotide ribosomal RNA is filed under the name Vreelandella stevensii. RNAcentral describes it as "partial 16S ribosomal RNA". It matches the Rfam family "Bacterial small subunit ribosomal RNA", at positions 338 to 795 of the family's 1533-position model. The record is from RNAcentral. Lineage: Bacteria; Pseudomonadati; Pseudomonadota; Gammaproteobacteria; Oceanospirillales; Halomonadaceae.
CCUACGGGUGGCUGCAGUGGGGAAUAUUGGACAAUGGGGGCAACCCUGAUCCAGCCAUGCCGCGUGUGUGAAGAAGGCCCUCGGGUUGUAAAGCACUUUCAGUGAGGAAGAACGCCUGGUGGUUAAUACCCAUCAGGAAAGACAUCACUCACAGAAGAAGCACCGGCUAACUCCGUGCCAGCAGCCGCGGUAAUACGGAGGGUGCGAGCGUUAAUCGGAAUUACUGGGCGUAAAGCGCGCGUAGGUGGCUUGAUAAGCCGGUUGUGAAAGCCCCGGGCUCAACCUGGGAACGGCAUCCGGAACUGUCAAGCUAGAGUGCAGGAGAGGAAGGUAGAAUUCCCGGUGUAGCGGUGAAAUGCGUAGAGAUCGGGAGGAAUACCAGUGGCGAAGGCGGCCUUCUGGACUGACACUGCCACUGAGGUGCGAAAGCGUGGGUAGCAAACAGGAUUAGAUACCCCGGUAGUC